CUCAAGAGUCGGCGCGGCAAAAUGGAAUCCGACAUGAAUAUAGAAAUGAAUAAUAUUGGAUUAGCUCCGAUCGCCGCGCUUUGAGGAGGAGAAGAGGCGAGCGAGCAGGGGGUGGGGGCUCUCCUCAAGUGAACCCGGCGAACUGGCGUGAACCCGUCAGUGACCACGGCAAGGUACAUUACAUGACAGGAGCUGCCCGGCCCGCUGCAAAAACAACUAUGGUCGGCGAUGCGGGACGAGGCAGCUCCCCAAAAAAAUAUAGCCAGUGGAUUUCCUACGAGCACGUGAUUGGGAGCGUCAUCCAAAAUCCAGAAGCCCUUUCAUCUCAAAUUUUGGAGAGGGGCGGGGACAGAUGAGCGAGCGUGUGUAACACACGGCGAAAGAAGAAGAAGAAGAAGAGGAGGAGGGAUGUAUAGAUCGCUUCUGUGCAACGUCACCACCCCCGAGGCACACGUGAAAGGAGGCACCGGUACACUUGAAGGCAGAACCUGCAACCGAGAUGAAUGAAAACGGACCCAAUAUCCCAGGAAGGUUUUUUUUUUUUUUUGGUUUUUGUUUUUUCCCCCCCUCCCCAACAAUGGGAUAUUAUUAUGGACUCAGGGCCAGUGUUGCAAAGUCUGCAAGUUGCCCAAUACAUGUAAAAAACUGUGCGGCGACACGCUCCAGCACAUGGCCUCCGAAUCCAGAAUAAUAUGGAUCUGAGGCUCAAACUUCUUUUAUACCGUAUUCCAAAACAAAUAUCUGUUGCCUGGAGACUUGGACAUCUCAAAUCCAUACAUGGACUGGAAUCCUGUUGGUUUGUCCAGGAAUGAGUUCAGAUGCUGCCUGUAGGUGGAAUUCAGGAACAACAGGAUUAUCAAUCCCUAAACCAGUGCAUUGAAACAAAAAUGUGGGUGCGGUGUGAGCGGUGAGCUACGGCAAGCUGCAUUAUAUGGCAGCUACUUUCAUCGGCAGGAUCCUCAACUUCGCGUGCCGGAAAUGAAGUUAGCAAUGGAAAGAUGUGAUCACCGAAUACAUCCUAAUUUAAUGUGAAUUAAAGAGCAUGUGAAGGAAUCCAUUUUGGCGACCCCCAA
Molecule: long non-coding RNA, 1073 nt
Organism: Hippocampus comes (tiger tail seahorse)
Lineage: Eukaryota; Metazoa; Chordata; Actinopteri; Syngnathiformes; Syngnathidae
Exons: 2
Source: RefSeq, a predicted model, not a curated record